CGGCGGACGGGUGAGUAACGCGUGGGUAACCUACCCUGUACACACGGAUAACAUACCGAAAGGUAUGCUAAUACGGGAUAAUAUAUUUGAGAGGCAUCUCUUGAAUAUCAAAGGUGAGCCAGUACAGGAUGGACCCGCGUCUGAUUAGCUAGUUGGUAAGGUAACGGCUUACCAAGGCGACGAUCAGUAGCCGACCUGAGAGGGUGAUCGGCCACAUUGGGACUGAGACACGGCCCAA
Molecule: ribosomal RNA, 238 nt
Filed under: uncultured bacterium
Lineage: Bacteria
Description: partial 16S ribosomal RNA
Rfam family: Bacterial small subunit ribosomal RNA
Source: RNAcentral